GCUUGUCUCAAAGAUUAAGCCAUGCAUGUCUAAGUAUAAAUAGUAUACAGUGAAACUGCGAAUGGCUCAUUAAAACAGUUAUAGUUUAUUUGAUAAUUGAAAAUUACAUGGAUAACCGUGGUAAUUCUAGAGCUAAUACAUGCUAUCAAGCCCGACUUCUUGAAGGGUUGUAUUUAUUAGAUGGAAACCAAUGCGGGGCAACCCGGAAUAUGGUGAAUCAUAAUAACUGUCGUAUCGAGCAAUCGAAGCGCCAUACAAGUUUCUGCCCUAUCAGCUUUGGAUGGUAGGGUAUUGGCC
Molecule: ribosomal RNA, 297 nt
Filed under: uncultured fungus
Lineage: Eukaryota; Fungi
Description: partial small subunit ribosomal RNA
Rfam family: Eukaryotic small subunit ribosomal RNA
Source: RNAcentral